Molecule: ribosomal RNA, 484 nt
Filed under: uncultured bacterium
Lineage: Bacteria
Description: bacterial SSU rRNA
Rfam family: Bacterial small subunit ribosomal RNA
Source: RNAcentral
AUUGAACGCUGGCGGAAUGCUUUACACAUGCAAGUCGAACGGUAACAGGUCUUCGGAUGCUGACGAGUGGCGAACGGGUGAGUAAUAUAUCGGAACGUGCCCAGUCGUGGGGGAUAACGUAGCGAAAGUUACGCUAAUACCGCAUACGAUCUAAGGAUGAAAGCGGGGGACUCGCAAGAGCCUCGCGCGAUUGGAGCGGCCGAUAUCAGAUUAGGUAGUUGGUGGGGUAAAGGCUCACCAAGCCAACGAUCUGUAGCUGGUCUGAGAGGACGACCAGCCACACUGGAACUGAGACACGGUCCAGACUCCUACGGGAGGCAGCAGUGGGGAAUUCUGGACAAUGGGCGCAAGCCUGAUCCAGCAAUGCCGCGUGCAGGAAGAAGGCCUUCGGGUUGUAACUAGCUUUGUUACGGAGCGAAAAGGUACUUCCCUAUACGGAGGCGUGAUGACGGUACCGUAAGAAUAAGCACCGGCUAACUACGUG